CGUUUAUCCAGAUGUUCAGAAUGUACCUGUAUGGCUUUUCCAACUCACUCCUUCUUGGGGCUCUCCCCCUGUACCUCCUCUAGGUGCGCCCACCUCGUCCACAUGUUGUUAAGAGACCAAAGAGCAACAUCGCAGUGGAAGGCCGGAGGACGUCUGUGCCGAGCCCUGAGCAAAACACCAUUGCAACACCAGCUACACUCCACAUCCUACAGAAAAGCAUUACCCAUUUUGCGGCCAAGUUCCCGACGAGAGGCUGGACCUCUUCAUCACAUUGACUUACGCCGUUGCUUUUCCAGACUGGGCAGAGGGGCUGACUUCGCAGUGUGUGCCAAAGAGCCGGUGUCUGAUAAUCCCAUUUUCCUGAUUAUCACCUGAACUGUGUCAGUAUCACUUUUAGUUUUGUUGGUUGGUUGGUUUGUUGUUUGUUUAAUAUGCCCUGUUUUCUACUUCUGUUGGAAAAUAUUUGGGGUUGAAAUAAACCAGUGGGAGCAUGGGAGCCAGUUUGGUGGUUGGCAAACUAACAGUGAUAGAAAACAA
Molecule: small RNA, 537 nt
Filed under: Pan troglodytes (chimpanzee)
Lineage: Eukaryota; Metazoa; Chordata; Mammalia; Primates; Hominidae
Description: processed transcript
Source: RNAcentral